AGGGAUUGCCUCAGUAACGGCGAGUGAAGCGGCAACAGCUCAAAUUUGAAAUCUGGCCCCAGGCCCGAGUUGUAAUUUGCAGAGGAUGCUCUUGGCGAGGUGCCUUCCGAGUUCCCUGGAACGGGACGCCAUAGAGGGUGAGAGCCCCGUACGGUUGGACACCAAGUCUUUGUAAAGCUCCUUCGACGAGUCGAGUAGUUUGGGAAUGCUGCUCAAAAUGGGAGGUAUAUUUCUUCUAAAGCUAAAUAUUGGCCAGAGACCGAUAGCGCACAAGUAGAGUGAUCGAAAGAUGAAAAGCACUUUGAAAAGAGGGUUAAACAGCACGUGAAAUUGUUAAAAGGGAAGCGCUUAUGACCAGACUUGCGCCCGGUGAAUCACCCAGCUCUCGCGGCUGGGGCACUUUGCCGGCUCAGGCCAGCAUCAGCUCGCUGUCGGGGACAAAAGCUUCGGGAACGUAGCUCUCUUCGGGGAGUGUUAUAGCCCGUUGCAUAAUACCCUUCGGCGGGCUGAGGUACGCGCUCCGCAAGGAUGCUGGCGUAAUGGUCAUCAGCGACCCGUC
This 559-nucleotide ribosomal RNA is filed under the name uncultured fungus. Its description in RNAcentral is "eukaryotic LSU rRNA". It matches the Rfam family "Eukaryotic large subunit ribosomal RNA", at positions 70 to 653 of the family's 3401-position model. Lineage: Eukaryota; Fungi. The record is from RNAcentral.